RNAcentral lists this ribosomal RNA (463 nucleotides) under uncultured bacterium. Its description in RNAcentral is "partial 16S ribosomal RNA". It matches the Rfam family "Bacterial small subunit ribosomal RNA", at positions 339 to 795 of the family's 1533-position model. The record is from RNAcentral.
CUACGGGCCGCUGCAGUGGGGAAUAUUGCACAAUGGGCGCAAGCCUGAUGCAGCCAUGCCGCGUGUAUGAAGAAGGCCUUCGGGUUGUAAAGUACUUUCAGCGGGGAGGAAGGGAGUAAAGUUAAUACCUUUGCUCAUUGACGUUACCCGCAGAAGAAGCACCGGCUAACUCCGUGCCAGCAGCCGCGGUAAUACGGAGAGUGCAAGCGUUAAUCGGAAUUACUGGGCGUAAAGCGCACGCAGGCGGUUUGUUAAGUCAGAUGUGAAAUCCCGGGCUCAACCUGGGAACUGCAUCUGAUACUGGGAAGCUUGGGGCUCGGAGGGGGGGGUAUAAUUCCAGGUGUAGCGGUGAAAUGCGUAGAGAUCUGGAGAAAUACCGGUGGCGAAGGCGGCCCCCUGGACGAAGACUGACGCUCAGGUGCGAAAGCGUGGGGAGCAAACAGGAUUAGAUACCCGGGUAGUC